CACUAAACUUGCCUCCUUUGCGUCGUGUAGUCGGCGCGUUGGAAUUUGUGGCAGAUGUGAGGUGUCUUGAUUGUUGUGUCUUUGUUGAUGCGUCGGUCAAGUCCCUUGAAAGUCGGACGCGUAUCUUUGCGUGCGUUGGGUGCCGGUGGGCUGUGGGACGCGUCUGUUGACGAGUCUGGCGACCUUUGGCGCGUGCAUGCUUGGGCACUGUGUAUUGGCGGUAUGUUAGGCUGCGUUCGCGCGGCUUUGACAAUGCAGCUGAUGCGUGUGUUUGGGCUGUGGUGCUGUAUGGGUGAACCGGAUGGUCGAUGGGUUUUAUAUGCGUUUCUCGUGUCUGUUUUUAUCCGGUGUUCUGUAUCGUGCGUGGAGUGUGUCAUCAUUUGGGAAUUUGUACGUCUUCUUGUUUUGAGGGCGUAUCUCAU
RNAcentral lists this ribosomal RNA (422 nucleotides) under Phytopythium helicoides. RNAcentral describes it as "internal transcribed spacer 2". Lineage: Eukaryota; Oomycota; Peronosporomycetes; Pythiales; Pythiaceae. The record is from RNAcentral.